UCCUCGGUAGCUCAGCGGCAGAGCAAUCGGCUGUUAACCGAUCGGUCGUAGGUUCGAAUCCUACCCGGGGAG
RNAcentral lists this transfer RNA (72 nucleotides) under Fodinibius salinus. RNAcentral's name for it is "Bacteroidetes bacterium YIM D17 tRNA". It matches the Rfam family "tRNA". Rfam says of the family: Transfer RNA (tRNA) molecules are approximately 80 nucleotides in length. Lineage: Bacteria; Pseudomonadati; Balneolota; Balneolia; Balneolales; Balneolaceae. RNAcentral also lists the same sequence under 1 other name. The record is from Rfam by way of RNAcentral.